GCACCCUUCGGGGUUGCACACGAUAAAAUUGGAACGAUACAGAGAAGUUGGUUUUUACCGCCACAGCCAAUGAACCGCUUAGUAAUGUCCUUUCCCACACCACCUAUAGCCUGCUAAUUACAUAAUCAUACUGAUUAUAGCAUGGCCCCUGCACAAGGAUGACACGCUUUUCCGGAGUGGUAGACCUACGGGUCUCAAUAUUUAU
This 205-nucleotide small nuclear RNA is filed under the name Paxillus involutus ATCC 200175. Lineage: Eukaryota; Fungi; Basidiomycota; Agaricomycetes; Boletales; Paxillaceae. The record is from RNAcentral.